Molecule: microRNA precursor, 89 nt
Filed under: Canis lupus familiaris (dog)
Lineage: Eukaryota; Metazoa; Chordata; Mammalia; Carnivora; Canidae
Also listed under: 1 other name
Description: mir-8799 microRNA precursor family
Rfam family: mir-8799 microRNA precursor family
Source: Rfam by way of RNAcentral
GGGGGAAGGCCGGAUCCUGGGCUGUGUCCCGGAGCCCUGUGCUCCAGGGCCUGCGCUGUUGGAUUCGCGCUCCCGCCCCGCAGCCCCCU